GACAGAGGCCACGAACGUUGUUCGGAAUCACUGGGCAUAAAGCGCACGUAGGCGGCUAGGUCCGUCCGAUGUGAAAGCCCCGGGCUUAACCUGGGAACUGCGUUUGAAACUGGGAGACUUGAGUGUGGCAGAGGGGGGUGGAAUUCCACGUGUAGCAGUGAAAUGCGUAGAUAUGUGGAGGAACACCGAUGGCGAAGGCAGCCCCCUGGGUUAACACUGACGCUCAUGCACGAAAGCGUGGGGAGCAAACAGG
Molecule: ribosomal RNA, 253 nt
Filed under: uncultured bacterium
Lineage: Bacteria
Description: partial 16S ribosomal RNA
Rfam family: Bacterial small subunit ribosomal RNA
Source: RNAcentral